UUUUUUUUUGGCUUUUUGGGGCUGAACCCACGGCAUAUGGACAUUCCCAGGGAAGGGGUCAAACCAGGGCCAUAGCUGCCAGCAUACAUCACAGCCACAGCAACACAGGAUCCAAGCUGCAUCUGCGACCUACACCACAGCUCACGGCAACAUCGGAUCCUAUACCCACUGAGAGAGGCCAGGGAUCAAACCUGCAAACUCAUGGUUACUAGUUGGAUUCGUUUCCACUGCACUACGAUGGGAACUCCUACAUCUGCUUCUUUUUAAAUGAUUUUCUUCUACAUCUGUCUCUUUCAAAUUUUUUUUAGUGAUUUUUAUUUUUUCCAUUAUAGUUGGUUUAGUGGUCUGUCAAUUUNAUAUGGGGGUUCCCAGGCUAGGGGUUGAAUCGGAGCUGUAGCCACCAGCCUACGCCAAAGCCACAGCAACGCUGGAUCUGAGCCGAGUCUGCAACCUACACCACAGCUCAUGGCAACGCUGGAUCGUUAACCCAUUGAGCAAGGCCAGGGAUUGAACCAGCAACCUCAUGGUUCCUAGUCGGGUUCGUUAACCACUUGCGCCACGACGGGAACUCCUCAAUUUUCUACUUUACAGCAAAGUGACCCAGCCUGCCUCUCUCUCUCUCUCUCUCUCUCUCUCUCUCUCUCACACACACACACACACACACACACACACACAUUCUUUUUCUCACAUUAUCCUCCAUCAUGUUCCAUCAAAAAUGACUGGAUAUAGUUCCCAGUGCUAUACAGCAGGAUCUCAUUGCUUAUCCACUCCAAAUGCAAUAGUUUGCAUCUAUUAACCCCAGAUUCCAAGUCUAUCCCACUCCCUUCCCUCUCUCCCCCCACCUUGGCAACCACAACUCCAUUUUCCAAGUCCAAAUUUUCUUUUCUGUGGAAAGGUUCAUUUGUGCUGUAUAUUAGAUUUCGGAUGUAAGUGAUAUCAUAUGGUAUUUACCUUUCUCUUUCUGACUUACUUCACUUAGUAUGAGAAUUUCUAGUUCCAUCCAUGUUGCUGCAAAUGGCAUUAUUUCAUUUUUUUAUGGCUGAGUAGUAUUCCAUUGUGUAUAUAUAUCACAUCUUCUCUUUUUUUGUCUUUUAGGGCCACAUCUGCAGCAUAUGGAGUUUCCCAGGCUAUGGGUCAAAAAGGAGCUAUAGCUGCUGGCUUAUGCCACAGCUAACAGCUCAAUUUUUUUUAAUACAUUCUAUGUUAUCUCUACAAGGCAGAGAAAAUAAGGUGUAUAAAGACUGGUUAUGAUAAAAACUAAUGCUCAAAGAAAAUCUGCACCCUUUUUUCCUUUGGCCUCAUUAACCCUAGAGUAGCCCUUCAGGUCACUUAUAGCAAAGUACCUACUAGUUUCAAAAUCAACCUCAACUCUAUAAAAUUCCUAGGAUAAGUAAUCCAAUUAUUCAAAUAUAAACACAGGAUAAAGAAGCAUAAGACAAAACUAUCUCCCAAAGUAUCAAGAAAUCUACCUCCAAAUGAACUACUAGAAUAAUAUUUUCUCACAUUCCAAGCCAUUCUGUCCUUUUACCAGAAAUUAUAUGAUUUAAAAAUCCAUCUUCUUAGCUUUUAUCCAUGCACACCCAGAGAAAUUCACAUGUACAAAGUCAUGUACAAAGAUGUCUAUCACUAUAUUGACUGUGAUAUGGAGGAGCUGGAAGCAGUCUGGAUUUCCACUGCUGGAAGAACUAACAAGUAAAAUGUAGUACACGAAUCACACAGUAGUAAUGGUUGCACAACUCUGUGAAUGUACUAAAAAUCACUGGAAUGUUAACUUCAAAGGAGUAAAUUUUAUGGUAUGUAAUAUCUCAAUAAAGUUAUUUUGUUUUGUUUUGUUUUUUAAACAAAUGGCCACACCUGCGGCAUAUGGAAGUUCCCGGGCUAGGGGUUGAGCCACAGCCACUGUAGAAGCAAUGCCGAGUAGGUAUGUUGUGAGCCACAUGGGAAGUCCUGUAAUAUCUCAAUAAAGUUAUUAUCAAGCAUACACAGGGGAUGGAUAUUCUGGGACACUAUGAAGCAGUAAGAAGCAAUUUUAUAUACUUAAAGUACAUAAAGGCAACAUAUAAGUCUUGAAAACCUGGUGUCAAGUUCAAAGUAAAUACAACAAUACGGAAAGAUCUUCAAAACCCAGUAUUAAAUUAUACAAUAAAAGAAAAUAAGAGUCUCAAUAAUUCUCCGUUCAUUCUCACAAGUCCCCCCUCUAUGUUUGCCUUUGUGAUCAAACGGACCAUGACAACUUUAAGGAACAUGUUCAUCUUGGAGAGCAAAGUAUCUCAGCUUCUACAAAACAAAGAUAAGAGCUCAACACCGCCGAAUGUUACACUGGGUACCAGAAACGCAUUCCUCAAUGUGAUUGAAAGAAUGAGAGUAAGAACAGAGAGAAGACUAUCAUCCCUAAUUCUGAUAUCUGUAAGAAAGUCUACAACAAAGGAAUCUACUGUUAACCUUCUUCUGGGAAAAUAAGGUCAUUUGGUUCCUUAAAGAACUUGGGUCUCAAGGCUAAUGGAAGAGGACAAGGAACAAAGAAUAGGUAUUCUAUUCAGCAACCUAGAACAGAACAGUCAUUCUCAUCUUUGCCAUUUUCCAAACUAUUUGCUCCCAAUCUCCAUUCAUUCAAUAAUUACUCAUUCAGCAUAUAUUCUAUUCAAUGCACUCUCUGCAGGUACUAGGGAUAUGUCAUGAACAAGCAAGAGUCCUUGACCUUAAGCAGCUUAUAUACUGUGAGGGAAGACAGACAACAAAUAAGAAAAUUGUAAUUUAAAUUUAAAUUUACAUAUAAGUGCCAUGAAAAAUAAGCAGUUAGAAAGGUGAGGGGAAGCUGCUUUCAGGAGAUAGUAAGGCGUUCUCUCAGGAUAUGACAGGGAAUUAAGAACUAUAUAAGGAGAAAAUGCCAGCCAACAAAAAAACCUGGGGGAAUAGAUUUCCAAGCAAACAGAAAUGCAAAUGUUGAGGCUAUAAAGGAGUAACAAGCUUCAAGUAUUUUACAGACAAAAAGAAAUCCAUUGUCAAGAAUGAGAAGAAAGAAUAGAUGAACUCAGAAAGGUAGCGGCUUUGUGAGGCCUUUGAAUUAUAUCUGGGAUGCAAUGACAAGCAGGGAGAGUUUUCCAGAAAUUUUAAGCAGAAGAUGGACAAGCUCUAAGUUGCAUUUCCAAUGACUCUGACCACUGUGUGAAAAACAGACUAUCUGAGAGGACAAGAAUAGGGAGAUAUAAACCAGUUAGGCUCUUCAGACAGCUCGGGCAAGAGAUGUCAGGGCUCAGACUCUGAUUAUGACUUGGUA
This 3277-nucleotide long non-coding RNA is filed under the name Sus scrofa (pig). Its description in RNAcentral is "lncRNA (ENSSSCG00035036456.1)". Lineage: Eukaryota; Metazoa; Chordata; Mammalia; Artiodactyla; Suidae. The record is from RNAcentral.